GCCAGCAUGGCCUAGUGAUUCAAGUAUUGGACUAUGAUUCUGGAGACCAGGGUUUGAUUCCCAGUUCAGCCA
This is a non-coding RNA of Phrynosoma platyrhinos (Desert horned lizard), 72 nucleotides long. NCBI's taxonomy places the organism in Eukaryota, Metazoa, Chordata, Lepidosauria, Squamata, Phrynosomatidae. The record is from the annotation of a GenBank genome assembly.